RNAcentral lists this long non-coding RNA (4412 nucleotides) under Androctonus crassicauda. Lineage: Eukaryota; Metazoa; Arthropoda; Arachnida; Scorpiones; Buthidae. The record is from RNAcentral.
ACUGAACUGAAAUUGCUCUUAGUUUUAAACUUGAAUUAUGCAGCUGAACUGAAAUUGCUCUUAGUUUUAAACUUGAAUUAUGCGGCUGAACUGAAAUUGCUCUUAGUUUUAAACUUGAAUUAUGCGGCUGAACUGAAAUUGCUCUUAGUUUUAAACUUGAAUUAUCUGACUGAACUGAAAUUACUCUUAGUUUUGUACUUGAAUUAUGCGGCUAAACUUUGCUAACUAAAAUAUUAAAAACUAAGUUUCAUCAUUCAAAUUAUAUCAUCAAUAACGAGUCUGCUCGCGUUUUUUACCGAUAAUAAGAUAAUAAAUCUAUCUUAGGAACCAAGCAGGCUUUAUUAAAUAAAUUUAUUUAUGCCAACAUGAUAUACAACGGCGAGUUAAGUUCACUAACUUUAAAGACCAAACAAUUAAAAAAAAAAAAAAAACAAAAACUUAAGCUUCUGCAAUCAAAACAGAUUUGUCUUUGCAUAAUUUAUAAACUUUAUUAACUGGAUUCAAACUUUUUUUAAACAUACUUUAACUUGUUAUUUUAUCAGAUUUUUUUUUAAAUUUUUAUCGUUUAGAUCGAACGACGUUCGUCGUCGUCGUCGCUCCGCGUACGAAAGUUGUUGAAUAUGCAGCUUAAACUUGAAUUAUGCAGCUGAACUGAAAUUGCUCUUAGUUUUAAACUUGAAUUAUGCGGCUGAACUGAAAGUAAUAAUAAUAAUUAAAAAAAUAAAUAAAUAAAAAGAAUAAACUCUACAAUGAAUUCGCAUAUUAUAUUUAAUUAUUCUAAUCAGUAUAAUGUUUACGGAAACUUUAGAGGAUUAAUAAAAGCUCGUUCGUUUUAUUAUUAAGAAGAAUCGCAAUCGCGUCGAAAAUGGAGCCAUUUUCUGCUUCGAAAAAUCCGAUUUGUAAGAAAAAUAUUUCACGAAUUGUUGGAUAAACAUCAAAUUUUACAAAAUUCGAAUGUUUAAUAGCAAUUUUUAACAAUUAUAUCAUCAGAAUUAAGGUAGUAAAGGCGCUAAAACGUAAGUUGACCUGAGACACAAAAAUAUCGUAGGCCCAACCGCCGAUGCCAACUUCUAGGAUUUUUUAUUAAUGUAGAAGCGCAUUCCUUAUUCAUUUUGACUUCUAAAUGCUGUUUAUCAUUAGUUUUUCUUCUUUAAAUUAUUAAUCGUUAUUCCUUACACGAGAUAAUUCGUUUCUAUAUUAAUUAUUACAGAUAUUCUGAUUAAUAAUAGAUGCAUAUACGUCUUGCAAUGAUAAUUAGACUAGAGUGACGUCUCCCUGAUGAGUCCUUGUUAAUAUUAGCCAUUUCUGACUGUCAUUUUAAUUAAUUUUGCCAUAAAUUUGCACAGUUUGAUGCAUUCGUAUCAAUCCGAGUUCAAAUCUUUUCAAUUUUAACCUAUGGAACUUUCUAUAAUCGAUCAAAAAAUUGGCAUUUUUCGGAAGAUAUUUCCGACGCGUAAACUCUAAUUUUUCGGGUAAAUAAUAAAUCAGAUUCAGAGCCAAGAUGGUUAAUGACAUUUUAAAUAUUUAAUUUUUGGUAUUAACAAAUUUUAUAUCGGAAAAUUAAAGGCGAUAGCUGCCAUGCAAAGUUUUGAAAAUUUUGCGCGUUGCCGUUGCGAUACGUCGCGGAGCGUGUAUAAAGCGCGGCGUAGAUGAGUUUAUUCACUUAACUAAGCAAAAUUUCGCUAUAAAAACCUAAGAAAAAAAAAGAUACAGUGUUUGAAUGAAGAUACAACACCUUUCUUUUAAUUCUUUAAAGUGUGAAUAAGAACAAAAUCUCAUUUUUUCGAAAGGUCAACGUGAUAUUAAUAUCCAUAGCUAGCGACGGGUUACAAAAAAAAAUUUUUUUUUCCUUACUCUUCUCUUUUCCUGUUAUAUAUUUAAUAAUUCCGGUUCAAGAAAAUCCUUCCGGAUUCUAUAAAAAUUUAACAAUUCAGUAACUCUUGUGAAUUUCGGCAGAAAAAAGAUUUUUUUUUUUUAAGUUAAAAUGUCAGAAAUUUUUCCAUAUAUAAUCCCUCUAUGCUGCUGCAGUAAUAAUCAAUGGGUUGUAUUUUUGCUAUUGUGUGUGUUUCUUCUCUCUCUAUUCUUCGUCGUACUACUCGGGCACCAAAUUUAAUCCCUAUUUUUAAUGCGGGAAAAUAUAAUCCGCCGUUAAAUAUUCAGGCGUAUUAGACAGAAAAUAUUCAAGUUAACAAAAUUUUUUUUUUCUAGUUUAAACUUUCAGCUUACUUUCUAGAUAUAAUUUUGUUAAAUGUGCGUUUAUUAGGCCAUUUAAGUUGGAUUUUUAGUAGGAUCUUCGUUGUUUGAUUAAAUCGUUAAUUAAGAUCAAUAAUAACUUCGUUUCUUAUCCGACGCCAUUUAAUCUACGUAAGAUAGAACUAAAUCCUACUCUUUGUCUCUAAAAAUUCAAAGGUUAAAGAUUUUUAUAAUUAAAAAUCAGCUGAUUGAUUGAUUCUCUAUUAAAAACUGCAUCAAAUUUCAUAAAAAUGCUACUUGUUUCGAACGUUUAUGCCUAGAGACGAUAGACAAUAAUGGCCUAUCCGAAACAAACACUUACAAGACACUUUAAGCUUAGCAAGUUUCCAAAAUUGAGAAUUAAAUUAAAAUAUCCACUUAUACUUUUUAUAAAUUUUAUAUUCUUUACCAAUGAUAUUUUCAUCUGCUAAAGAAUAAAAGAAGAAGAAAGAAACAGUUCCCGUUAUUAAAUCAAAUGGAAACUCUCCUCUUUUUCUUUUAUUUUCCAUCGAAAAGUCGUCAUAAUUUUUAUGUUCUUCAUGUAAAGAUAAUACUAAAUUUUUCACGCAGCAGGCCUCACGCAUUUAAGGCCUCUUCCAUUUUGUUUUCUGUAAAAAAAAGAGGGCCUUUCAUGAAACCACGACGAGAAGAUAUUCUUUAAUUCUAUCCCGGUAGAGAUGAUAAAUUUGAAUAGCAUUUGUUAAGGGAGACUAAGUCUCAUUAUAAUUCGUUUUUGCCUUAAUAGAAAUUUUAUUUUCAUGGCUAUUAAUUUUCCUUUUUAUUCUGUUCAUUUAACUACAUCUUCCUGUGUAGUUGUUGCUUCCGUUUCGGUUCUGUGCCAGUUCUAUUAUACACACACUCGCACCUGAUUACAUUUACAUGCAGUGUGUGACUAAAAGAAGAAAUUCGAACUCGUUCGUCCGUUAAAAUACUUUUUCUAAACUAUUUUUAUAACUAUAUUUUAUUAUGGAACAAAACUGAAUAUAUAUAUAUAUAUUCUUUGUUCUGGAUAAUAAUUCGAUUUUACUUUUCCUUUAUCGGAUUACAGCUGAUGAUACAGAUCAGCAUGUUCACAGUUUUUUUUUUUAAAUCCUCCUGUUUGAGAAUCCGAAAACAAAAUUUCGGCAUUGUUCUAUGUUGCAAAAAUACAAGAGUAAGGAUCUUUUUAUCAAUUUUGACAAUUUUGUUUAGCGCAUCAUUCAGUUCUCUUGAAACGGUGGGAGUUAUACACGAAUUAUACUUAAUUAUGAGAGCCUAGAAACAUUUUAGUAUAAAAUCCUAGAAAGGAGUGAUAUAUAUAUUAUGAAUUUUUACCCGAACAAAAAUUUAUGUUGCAAAAAUCUACCUCUUGUGGCUCAGGCCUAUCUCGAGUUUUAUUUGGACCCGUAGGAAUAAAAAACACCAGUAUUCCUAUUUAAUAUUAUUGUAAGGGGCGUGAAAAUAACAUAAAAAAAUUCGUGCCAAGUGCCAAGUCUCUGUCGUUACGCUAUCGCAGUCUAGGCAGGAAUUUUCCCUCUUGUCACGCUAUGCGAAAAUGUGGGCAACCAAAAAAAAAACGCAGGCCUACUUUGCCUAUGGUGAAAUAUGGUCCGCUUUGUAUUAAAAUUUUCGUAACUAAAAAAAAAAAAAACAGGAAUUUGCUUUGAAAACUCCUAACAAUGGGUUAAAAAUUAUCAAUAUUCAUCAGGAGCAGUGGAAGGAAGAGUUGCCUUCCACUGCAGUAGUUGAUUAUUGGUAAUUUAUUGCUUCAUUGUUAGGAGUUUUCAAAUCAUUUCUCCACAAUUUCCUUCCAUUCAAUCUUCUUUAAAAAAAAACCGAAUUUUUACUGCUAUUUUUUAUGAUAAUCGCUUAAAACUUUGACACUGAUAUUUCUCAGUUUAAACUAUUAUAUAUAUUCGUUAAAAUUAAUGUCUAAAUUGUUUUUAAUUACCAUAUUUUUCAACGUUUCUUGGAACUUUUUCCAAUCAGUUACCAAUUUUCUACGAAAAGUAGCUGAAAUAAAAUGUACAAGAAUAAAUUAUAUUACAAUCUAUAAAACAGUACAAUAUAUACAACAUAAGUAUGUAAAUCAGAUAGUUAGGUAAGCUACAGUACAGUACUAAUUAGUAUUUAUAUACAUUAUUGUACAUUUAGUUCCUGUAGAUUAAAAUUAAUUCUUGCUGAUUACAGUCUAUAAAAAA